GUAAGUGUAGUGAAGUAGUGGUUACACGCUCGCCUCGCAUGUCAGAUGUCCGGGGUUCAAAUCCCGGCACGGCCA
Molecule: non-coding RNA, 75 nt
Organism: Opisthorchis viverrini
Lineage: Eukaryota; Metazoa; Platyhelminthes; Trematoda; Opisthorchiida; Opisthorchiidae
Source: Rfam